Molecule: ribosomal RNA, 587 nt
Filed under: uncultured haloarchaeon
Lineage: Archaea; Methanobacteriati; Methanobacteriota; Halobacteria; Halobacteriales; Halobacteriaceae
Description: bacterial SSU rRNA
Rfam family: Archaeal small subunit ribosomal RNA
Source: RNAcentral
GCAGGCGCGAAACCUUUACACUGCACGCCAGUGCGAUAAGGGGAUCCCAAGUGCGUAGGCAUARAGCCUACGCUUUUGUCCACCCUAGGGUGGUGGACRAAUAAKGGCUGGGCAAGACCGGUGCCAGCCGCCGSGGUAAUACCGGCAGCCCGAGUGAUGGCCGAUCUUAUUGGGCCUAAAGCGUCCGUAGCUGGCCGMACAAGUCCAUCGGGAAAUCCACCUACUCAACAGGUGGGCGUCCGGUGGAAACUGUGUGGCUUGGGACCGGAAGGCGCGACGGGWACGUCCGGGGUAGGAGUGAAAUCCUGUAAUCCUGGACGGACCGMCRAUGGCGAAAGCACGUCSCGAAGACGGAUCCRACAGUGAGGGACGAAAGCUAGGGUCUCGAACCGGAUUAGAUACCCGGGUAGUCCUAGCCGUAAACACUGCCUGCUAGGUGUGGCACCCACUACGAGUGGGUGCUGCGCCGUAGGGAAGCCGCUAAGCAGGCCGCCUGGGAAGUACGUCCGCAAGGAUGAAACUUAAAGGAAUUGGCGGGGGAGCACUACAACCGGAGGAGCCUGCGGUUUAAUUGGAUUCAACGCCGG